This 363-nucleotide ribosomal RNA is filed under the name uncultured bacterium. Its description in RNAcentral is "bacterial SSU rRNA". It matches the Rfam family "Archaeal small subunit ribosomal RNA", at positions 725 to 1084 of the family's 1478-position model. The record is from RNAcentral.
AGUGAAUAGAUACCCUGGUAGUCCCAGCCGUAAACGAUGCUCGCUAGGUGUCAGGCAUGGCGCGACCGUGUCUGGUGCCGCAGGGAAGCCGUGAAGCGAGCCACCUGGGAAGUACGGCCGCAAGGCUGAAACUUAAAGGAAUUGGCGGGGGAGCACAACAACGGGUGGAGCCUGCGGUUUAAUUGGACUCAACGCCGGACAACUCACCGGGGGCGACAGCAAUAUGUAGGCCAAGCUGAAGACUUUGCCUGAAUCGCUGAGAGGAGGUGCAUGGCCGUCGCCAGUUCGUACUGUGAAGCAUCCUGUUAAGUCAGGCAACGAGCGAGACCCGUGCCCACUGUUACCAGCAUGUCCUGGUACGGA